UAAAAUGCACAUUUUGGUUUUCAUACAUUUUUACAGUACAGCCAAUUUUGACACAAAACAGAAUUGAAUAUGCAUGACUUGAGAUUGAUGGAUUUGUUUUCUGUGUUCUAUUGUUUUCUUAGUUUUUUGCAUAGUCGAGAGAGGAUGAGAGAGACAUUUGGACAGGAGUUAAUGUUGUUUGACCUGAUGAGCGAUGAGGAGGAUUGCCUGCAAAAAGGCAAACCAGUGUGGCUUUGUCAAGAACUACAGAGCCGCUUGAAGAGCUACUUGCCCUGCCACAAAAGGACCAGCUGACAUCAUGUCAGUGAUUCUCUCGUUAACACAGGUGUGAGUGUUGACGAGGACAAGGCUGGAGAUUCACUCUGUCAUGCUGAUUGAGUUCGAAUAACAGACUGGAAGCUUCAAAAGGAGGGUGGUGCUUGGAAUCAUUGUUCUUCCUCUGUCAACCAUGGUUACCUGCAAGGAAACACGUGCCGUCAUCAUUGCUCUGCACAAAAAGGGCUUCACAGGCAAGGGCAUUGCUGCCAGUAAGAUUGCACCUAAAUCAACCAUUAUUCACAACGUUUCCUACACGUUUCGUCAUGGUUCUAUUUAAAAUAAUGUCUCAGAAUGUUAAGAGAAUGUUAAGAAAGUUCUUCUGUUGGAAUUUCAGUACUUCAGCAUAACGUUUUCGGCAGGUUUUCCUCAUGGCUCUAUUUAAAGUCAUGUUCUCAGAACAUUAAGAAAACUUUCUAUACAUUUUUUUUGCGUGAACAAUGCAUAACCAAACUCAUUUCCAUGUGUCCUAUUUUUGAUUGGAGUUCAAAACCAUUAACCGAAGCUAGCAGUGUUAUUAAAAAUAUUAUUGAAACAUGUU
Non-coding RNA from Salmo salar (Atlantic salmon), 856 nucleotides. NCBI's taxonomy places the organism in Eukaryota, Metazoa, Chordata, Actinopteri, Salmoniformes, Salmonidae. The record is from RefSeq and is a predicted model, not a curated record.